This is a long non-coding RNA of Pipistrellus kuhlii (Kuhl's pipistrelle), 711 nucleotides long. RefSeq lists it as uncharacterized. The transcript is spliced from 2 exons. The record is from RefSeq and is a predicted model, not a curated record. NCBI's taxonomy places the organism in Eukaryota, Metazoa, Chordata, Mammalia, Chiroptera, Vespertilionidae.
GAGAGAGAGAGAAAGAGAGAGAGAGACUGACUUUGAUUUGAGAAAGACACAUUGAUUGGUUGCCCCCACGCGUACCUGGACCGGGGCUGGGGAUAGAAACUGCAACCGAGGCAUGUGUCCUGGACUGGAAAUUGAACCUUUGGUGUACUGACAGACACCCUAACUACUGAACUACACCAGCCAGGGCAUACUUGCUGUAGGUUUUAAUUUUUUUCUAUGAUAAUUAAUGUAGAGAAAAUAGGGCUAUAAGAGGAAAACAAUUAUUUUCCAAACAGGCUUCUGGAAAAAUAAAUCACUCUACUGUUUUUCAGGAAAAAACUUCAAUAAAUAUGCAGUUUGCCUUUAAUUUUAGGUUUUAGAAUGAAACAAGUUUGAUAGAGAAUUGACUUGUUUCCCCACUGAAACCUAGUUUAAUUUUGUCAUCGUGAUUUGAUAUGUUAUGCAAGCUAGAAGCAAAACAGAGAGGAGUGUUUUGACUGAGUAAUGAUCAUGAUCUGUGUUUAUAAAAAGGGGAGAUCUGUCCAGGUAAAAUUAUCAACAAUAAUGGCUUAUAUUUGUAUUGUGGAGUCAUCCAAGUAGAAGACAGAUGAGCCUAGAAUACUAACGUUUCUCCUCAGAUGAGGAAGAAUAGAUUUCAAAGGAGUCUUUCUCUGGCAGUUCUAAUUUGAUUUUUGCGUACUUUUCCUCAGAAGAAAUGUUUUGUUCCAACCA